This 497-nucleotide ribosomal RNA is filed under the name uncultured bacterium. RNAcentral's name for it is "partial 16S ribosomal RNA". It matches the Rfam family "Bacterial small subunit ribosomal RNA", at positions 28 to 507 of the family's 1533-position model. The record is from RNAcentral.
GAUGAACGCUGGCGGCGUGCCUAAUACAUGCAAGUCGAGCGAACGGACGAGAAGCUUGCUUCUCUGAUGUUAGCGGCGGACGGGUGAGUAACACGUGGAUAACCUACCUAUAAGACUGGGAUAACUUCGGGAAACCGGAGCUAAUACCGGAUAAUAUUUUGAACCGCAUGGUUCAAAAGUGAAAGACGGUCUUGCUGUCACUUAUAGAUGGAUCCGCGCUGCAUUAGCUAGUUGGUAAGGUAACGGCUUACCAAGGCAACGAUGCAUAACCGACCUGAGAGGAGGAUCACUCACACUGGAACUGAUACACGGUCCAGACUCCUACGGGAGGCACCAGUGGGGAAGAUUGGACAAUGGACGAAAGCCUGAUCCAGCCAUGCGGCGUGAGUAAAGAAGGUCUUCGGAUUGUAAAGCACUUUAAGUUGGGAGGAAGGGCAGUAAGUUAAUACCUGGCUGUUUUGACGUUACCAACAGAAUAAGCACCGGCUAACUUCGUG